RNAcentral lists this ribosomal RNA (86 nucleotides) under Corymbia arenaria. RNAcentral's name for it is "partial 18S ribosomal RNA". Lineage: Eukaryota; Viridiplantae; Streptophyta; Magnoliopsida; Myrtales; Myrtaceae. The record is from RNAcentral.
UACCUGGUUGAUCCUGCCAGUAGUCAUAUGCUUGUCUCAAAGAUAAGCCAUGGCUGGGGUAAUAUGAACUUAUUUCGAAUGGGGAA